GCUGGGGGUGGUGGCACAUGCCUUUAGUCCUAGCUACUUGGGAGGCUGAGGCAGGGGGAUUGCUUGAGCCCAGGAGUUUGAGGCUGCAGUGAGUGAUGAUGGCACCACUGUACUCCUGCCUGGGUGACAGAGCAAUACCCUGUCUCUA
RNAcentral lists this non-coding RNA (148 nucleotides) under Gorilla gorilla gorilla (western lowland gorilla). The record is from Rfam by way of RNAcentral. Lineage: Eukaryota; Metazoa; Chordata; Mammalia; Primates; Hominidae.